This 446-nucleotide ribosomal RNA is filed under the name uncultured bacterium. Its description in RNAcentral is "bacterial SSU rRNA". It matches the Rfam family "Bacterial small subunit ribosomal RNA", at positions 335 to 795 of the family's 1533-position model. The record is from RNAcentral.
ACUCCUAGGGAGGCAGCAGUGGGAAUAUUGGACAAUGGGCGAAAGCCUGAUCCAGCAAUGCCGCGUGAGUGAUGAAGGCCUUAGGGUUGUAAACCUCUUUUAGCAGGGAAGAAGCGAAAGUGACGGUACCUGCAGAAAAGCACCGGCUAACUACGUGCCAGCAGCCGCGGUAAUACGUAGGGUGCAAGCGUUGUCCGGAAUUAUUGGGCGUAAAGAGCUCGUAGGCGGUUUGUCACGUCUGCUGUGAAAAUCCAAGGCUCAACCUUGGACUUGCAGUGGGUACGGGCAGGCUAGAGUGCGGUAGGGGAGAUGGGAAUUCCUGGUGUAGCGGUGGAAUGCGCAGAUAUCAGGAGGAACACCAAUGGCGAAGGCACAUCUCUGGGCCGUAACUGACGCUGAGGAGCGAAAGCGUGGGGAGCGAACAGGAUUAGAUACCCUGGUAGGUC